AGUGAACGCUGGCGGUAGGCCUAACACAUGCAAGUCGAACGGCAGCACAGUAAGAGCUUGCGCUUACGGGUGGCGAGUGGCGGACGGGUGAGGAAUACAUCGGAAUCUACUUUUUCGUGGGGGAUAACGUAGGGAAACUUACGCUAAUACCGCAUACGACCUACGGGUGAAAGCAGGGGAUCUUCGGACCUUGCGCGAUUGAAUGAGCCGAUGUCGGAUUAGCUAGUUGGCGGGGUAAAGGCCCACCAAGGCGACGAUCCGUAGCUGGUCUGAGAGGAUGAUCAGCCACACUGGAACUGAGACACGGUCCAGACUCCUAUGGGAGGCAGCAGUGGGGAAUAUUGGACAAUGGGCGCAAGCCUGAUCCAGCCAUACCGCGUGGGUGAAGAAGGCCUUCGGGUUGUAAAGCCCUUUUGUUGGGAAAGAAAAGCAGCAGGUUAAUACCCCGCUGUUCUGACGUUACCCAAAGAAUAAGCACCGGCUAACUUCGUG
Molecule: ribosomal RNA, 492 nt
Filed under: uncultured bacterium
Lineage: Bacteria
Description: partial 16S ribosomal RNA
Rfam family: Bacterial small subunit ribosomal RNA
Source: RNAcentral